Long non-coding RNA from Lepidothrix coronata (blue-crowned manakin), 6084 nucleotides. RefSeq lists it as uncharacterized. The record is from RefSeq and is a predicted model, not a curated record. The transcript is spliced from 7 exons. NCBI's taxonomy places the organism in Eukaryota, Metazoa, Chordata, Aves, Passeriformes, Pipridae.
UCCUCCUGCGCCGUGCCCGACCGUGCCGGGGCACCUUGGUCCCGCACACCCCGCUUUGCCCCAGGGCUUCAUCCUGCCCUGCAGCAGGCUCGCCGGAGCCGUCAGCGCGGGCCCUUGUCAGGCACGCUCAUAGGAGGACAACAAGUGUUUAUUUAAGUGCGUCAGAUUGCUGCCCUUGCUUCAGCUGUGUUUUUCUGGAUACACCUUCGCUAUUUUUUGUUCUUCAAAGAUCUGACUCUUCUGGUUACAGCAGGGCUGUUUUUAAAUCAGGCUACGAGUGUUAACUCCAGCUCAUGGUCAAGCCGUGACUGCUUCAGCCUGCCCUACCUCUUGCAGUUUUGGCUCCGGACAGGCAGCUGAAACAACUCCGCAAAAUGUAAUCAUCUCAUUUGGAUCAAAUUAUGAAGCUUUCAGAAAAAGGGAAAAUACAUUGUCCUUCCCCCACCAGCACUACAACAAUGAAUAAAGGUACAGAACAGAAUACGGAGCAUAAAUGUAUCAACCUGGCAUUGUUUGUUGCUUCUGUGUCAGAGGAGACAGUUUGCCCUGGUUGAUUUCCCCAUGACCUGCAAAGAUGGAGCAAGUCCAGGCAUUUGAAUCGAAUUUUAACUUCAAGUGAUGAAUGCUCAGCUACCUGAUAAAUUCCACUUUUGGAUGCAGCUUUCCUGGAGUGAUAAGCAGAUGUGUGCCUACUUUAGCAGCGAGCAUGUGUAGCUUUCUUAGUUGAGUGACCUAAGAUCUUUCCUUUGCUUUUGAGCACAUUAUCUUUACAUCUACAAGAGGUUGUUUUGGGGUACAAAACAUUUCAAGUGAAAAAUACAUAGAUAAGCAUAUAAAUGUCAGAAAGAUACUGGAGGUUAUGUUGCCAAAUACUCAGAAAUACGAGGGAGAUUGAGUGAAUGUGGACGAUAACAAGUGACCAUGGAGGCAAUACAUGGUUAUUUAUUCAGUGAUAAUUACAAGAGUAAACAAAAGACCGUGAAGUAGUCUGUAGAGUUGUUGAUGUCCUCCUAUUAUUUACCAAGCAAAAACUAGAUCUCAGUCUUCUUCCUAUUGAUAGCAAAUACCUUCUCCUAGAGAAAGAGUAACAAUUCCCAUGGGUAAAGAUUUCCUUCCUACUUUCACUGUCUCAGAAGACCUUGAUCUGGGUUGUGGCUGCUGACUGGAUAAAUUCAGUAUCGUCUGAAACAUCACAGAUUAAAUUAUGCAAUGCAUUAUGCAAACAUGAACAGAAGUAAUCCAAAGUAAUAUAAGAGAUUGGGAAAAUGAGAGCAUGUGAGAAAAUGAGAAUAGGGAAAGAACGUGGAAAUACAGCUAAGACAGAAUAUGUUAAAUGUUCAUGUCUAAUGGAAGAGACAGGCCAGAGCAGAAUGGUUCCAAAAGAUGAUUGUAUGCUCACUGCAUGUAGUGCAUGGUAAAAAUGAAUGCACUUGCAAUUGCUUCUGGCAGUAAAGCUGGCCACAGUAAAUCCAGGCCUCCCAUAAAGACAGAGGAAAUUAUAUGGCAUGCUUACUAAAGCUGGUGAAACAAUAAAACAUUGGAAGCUCUCAUUGCUGGAAAGAUACUGGCAAUUUGGAAUGAAUUUAUAGGAAACUGGCAAGAAGUGGAUUGCCAGAGAUAGAGAUACUUGUUUAGAAGGAAUCAGAAGAUUUAAAUAUGUCUAACUUGGCAGUAAUGUCCAGCUAUUUUAAUAAUGUGACUACCAAAGGAGGGAAUAAUCUGCAAUUGCUUUCAACAUUCAAGGGUAGAGUUAUCAUGAUAAUAUUAAAUCUUCUGCAGCUUUGAUCCCUGAAAUGGAUCAAAGGCCUAUAAAAGCUUCUCCAGCUAAAACCACCGUGAAAAAUAUAAGCAGGAAACCAUUAAGUUCUUAAAUAGCAAAUAUUGUUGUUGGAUUGAAAUGAUUUUCUUUUGAUUUUGGACUAUUACUUCUUUUUAUUUGGUUUGUAGAAUGAUAAGCACAUACACCUCUUUCCAACUCUAGGUGCCUUUAAACGCUUUAAAAUCACAGAAAACUUCAGUAAAUUGACACAAGUUCUGUUUGCUGGUCACCACUGUCAUAACUGCUAGCACUAUUUCUUCUGCUGAAUAUUACAUUACCAUAAUUUCUGAACUCAUACUUUAAUUUUGUCCCUAUCAGCCAAAUAAAGGCAGGUGCUUUGCAGAAUAUAUCAGUGGUUGAAGCUUGUUGUGCUCAAGAGCGAAGUGCUAAGCUAAGGAGGCUGUGUAAUGUAUAAGCAGAUUUUUCUCCUGAAUUGAAAAACUUGUGCUGUGUACUUCUGGUUACAUCAGCUGUAGCACAGAGAAAGGUAAAAAGGCAAUGCUUCAGAAAAAAAACUUUAACUGAAAUAAUUUGGAGCUUCAAAGUUAAAGACAAUACCCUGAAUUCUGCCCAGAGCCCCAGGCAAGUGGUGCAGCUUGACACCAACUGCUGUAAAUGUAUUUGUCCUUAAUAUUCAGAUUAUCAAUGCUGCUUUAAAUUAUCUCAGUUUAUAAACAGAAAAUUGGUAGUAUCCUACUCAUUGGUUUAAAAUGGGACAUGACCAGGUCCCUCCAAAAUAAAAGCUUUUAUUUAUUUUUCCAAGCAUUAAUUUCAGAAUUAAGAGCACUUCUGUUGCUUCCCAGGUACCCAGGAAAAGGUAUUGCUCCCACCGAAUUUAUGGAUCCUGGUUCAACACGAUACUUAAGCUGGUGCCUAAUUUUAGGUACUAGCCAGCUGUAAAAAACUCAGCCUGCUUCCUUAAAAUGUACUCGUGUGCUUAUUAACUUCAUCAGAUAACGCUCUGAAUUGCAAAUCUAAUUCUCCAAUAGGAGCUGCAUUUUUUCAAAGCAAAUGUCUUUGCUGAAUUUUGGUGUUUCUCUCACUCUGUCAAAAUUUAGAAAGCCCUGUUCAGACAGGAUUGGAAUGGGAUUUGUAUGAAAUGUCCUGUGGGAAAUACAGCUAUGAUGUUAAAGGAAAAAACCCUGAACCCAUAAGUAUCAUAUAUAUAUAUAUAUAUAUAUACAUACUUCAAUAAUUUGUUUCUUCCUAACAUCCAUGUUGCUGUUGCCCAAAUUCUGUUUAGUGUCCUUAUCCUGACAUGAACAUAGACCCAUGGCCCUUCCUUUCUGAAUUCUUUUACCCUCGAGAUUUUCUAAUACUGUUCCAUGCUUUGCCAUACUUUAUUUUUCAUGUUUUUGUUUAGUAAUUUUACACCAUAUUUAAAUUUUAUCUACCUCCCUGCCCCCCCCUUUCUUGGUGCCAUAUGCAGAUAAGAUUGAUUCUCUCUGCACAAAAGUCUUCAGUUCAGUUAUAUAAUUUGGGAUCGAGAACUGACCCCUGCUGCAAGUCCCAGCUCAACAGCUCUUCUUAGAAGUCAGCAAACUGUUAUUAUAAUUAUUCUGUCUUCACAAAUUCCAGACUUCUAUAGCUACUUUGAAAGAUUUGAAUAUAAACCUCCUUCCUAUCAUUCUUUGUGAGACUAUCACAUGAAAAUGUAGAAGGUAUCUUGCAGAGUAGGUGUCCGUGCUCACAGUGUUUCCCCUGUCUGUAAAGUGUCAAUAAUUUGACGCACGCAAUGUGAAAUUGAGCACUCACACCUGAAGACAGUCUAAAAUGUAAUAACUUUCCAUUGCAUUAAUAUGCACGGGCCUCACAUAUUAUAUAUUUAACUCAGGUUUAACAGGACACUUGAAAAUCUAUAUUUAACAGGGAAACAGGAAUAUAGCAUAUUUAUUUCAGAGAAAAUUUAACUUUCGGGAUUCCUUGAUUACUGAGUACUUGAUUUUAAAAGAUGUAGCUUGCAUCUUUAUUAGUAUAACUUGACUAUUAUUUUAAAAUAAAUAAUGGUAAUAGUUGCUUUGGAAUAUUUUAAAAAGGGUUCUUCAACUAUGCUAUGUACAAGCUUUUCACAAAGGUGCGAGCCAGGUCUUUUUCUAAAUAUUACCGUUUUCCUACCCUUUUCUGUGGAACAGUUGCACUGCUCAAAUUUAAAUUUAUCUCAUGCUUCAACAGUUCAGCUUAUAAAUUUCUGUACCCCGUAGCUGGACAGUUAUCAUCUAAUAGAUCACAUCUGUCAUUAUUGGUCUGAUCAGUCCUUCUGUGUCCUAGUAGGCUCCCCCAUUGACUUGAGGAACCAGAUCUGUAUCUGCUUUAGAUAUGAGAUUCAUGGACUGAUAGUUGAAAUUAGGGACCUGUAUUAUGUAGUUGAGUUGAGCCUCUCAAAAUAGCCAUAAGGAGUUCAUAUAUCCAUAUGGCAAAGUAAGAUAGGUAGCUGAAUCCUUUAAGCUUAAACUUAUGAAUCUGUACAAGUAAUGUACAAAUAAUGCCCUUUUGGGAUAUAAAGUAACUACAAAGUUAUUUGAAUGAUCUCAUUUGUAUUAUAGUAAAUGAACAAAGGAUUACACUCAUCUUUACAUUGUCAGUAUUUUUCUAAUGCAGAAGAGGCAUUUGUUAAUAGGGAAUAUGGAGUCUUUGACAUUUUGGGUCCCAAUCCUUCAGUGAAGCUAGUCAUGCACCUGCUUAUUUGUGCACAAAUCAUUCUAAUGAAUUCUAAAGGACUAUUCAUGUGCAUAAAGCUAAGCCUGUGUGUAAAAGCCUUUGCAAGACUGGGCCUAGGUUGUAAGUUUGAUAAUGACCUGAGACUGAUUCAGCAGAGAAAAAACAGUCCUUUUAAAAAGUUGAGGAGUGUAACUCCAGCUCAGCUGAACAGGUAUGGGCAGUGCUAAAAGACAAAACUCUAAAAACUGAUCAAGAAAAAAUGGGAAGAGAUAUAAAUCUUUUUUUAAUUUAUAUUUUAUAAUACUGCAUUUUACCUUAAUCUUAUUAAUUCUUGGCUGCAUUUUAUUUUCAUUAUGGCUAUGAAUUCGAUUUGAAUAACUUUAUGUCAGGAGCUUAGAAAUUUCCUGUUUUAAUUUCAUGCAUAUAGAUAUAUACAUAUAUAUAGCCUGUGUGGAAGAGUAGAUCCACUUAGAGAAUGGUAGCUGUGAGAAAUCAUAACUAGACUCUUCAGGAAAUUUUUGCUUAAGGAGAAGUCAAGACAUCAACACUGUUUCAGAAAGAAGUGUACAGAAGAGCUUUGUGCACUUAUUUGUUUGUACCAUGCAAUAUUCUGCCUUCUGCUGCAUUUUGUGCUGCACUGCAGCAGUUUAUGUUCUCAGAGACAGCACAACACCUGCAGGAGCCUCCGAACAACAUCAGGGGAAUUCCAGUCAUUGUGACGCAUCUCCUGAAACCAUUUUCUAGAUAUUCCUUCCAUGAGUUGCUUCCAUCAGGAACUUCCAUAGAAUUUGGUAAAGACUUUUCAUGUGUUUAAUAUUAAACACACAGGCAGUGCUACUGAAAGUACCAUGAAAAAUAAAUGAAAUUACUUAAAUAUAAACUGAGUUCCUGCUUGGGCCUAUGGUGUUUGGCAUUUGAUAUGGCAGCCUAGAAGAUGGACAUUUGACAGGCCACAAUAGACUGCUCCUUUCCCAGAUUACAAAAACCUAGUAACUCCCCCUUGUGUUGUCUCCGAAGGAUUCUUUGGAAGAAGGCAUCUAACAGUUCCUGUGAAAGACAUCAAUGGAAUCCUCACUUUCAAGAAAAUCACAAUUAGAGGCUGGAAAAAGAUUAAAGAGAUACAGAAUUGCUGUCAUGAAGCUUUCAACAUGAAGCUUGACAUUCAAAUUGAAAUCUCAAACUGCUACUGAUAUUGGAGAGGAAACAGAAAAGGAUUAGAAGAAGAAAUAGUGGAGAAUUUUUUCACUAAAUCUAUUCUGGAUUAUAUUAUGUACUUGGGUCUUGUGGUAGUGAUAUGUUUAAUGCAAAUUGACACAAUAAUGAACUUUGCUUAACUUUGCUGAGCAGAUAUUAUAGUACUCUGAAUUUCAUUGAUAUCUAUAUAUCCCUAUUUAAAUUCCAUAAUUUCACAUAAUAAAAUAUAUUUCUAUCAAGUGUGUUGCACAAUUAAUCUUAGAUACUUUAGCUACAGUUUGUCUUAGUUAAGAAUUUCAAGAAGGGUUACUUCUUGCAGUCUUGGGUGUCUCCCAUUUUUUCAUGUUAAUUUUGGGACUUCUUUAAAAUGGGAUUGAUUUUCAGAGGUGGAAGUACUCACCUGCUUUCUGUAG